GUGCCAGCCGCCGCGGUAAUACGGAGGAUGCAAGCGUUAUCCGGAAUGAUUGGGCGUAAAGGGUCUGUAGGUGGUGCUGUAAGUCUGCUGUUAAAGAGUCACGCUCAACGUGAUAAAAGCGGUGGAAACUACAGGACUAGAGUGCGGUCGGGGCAGAAGGAAUUCCUGGUGUAGCGGUGAAAUGCGUAGAUAUCAGGAAGAACACCGGUGGCGAAAGCGUUCUGCUAGUCCGCAACUGACACUGAGGGACGAAAGCUAGGGGAGCGAAUGGGAUUAGAUACCCCGGUAGUCC
RNAcentral lists this ribosomal RNA (292 nucleotides) under uncultured bacterium. Its description in RNAcentral is "partial 16S ribosomal RNA". It matches the Rfam family "Bacterial small subunit ribosomal RNA", at positions 505 to 796 of the family's 1533-position model. The record is from RNAcentral.